GAUCCAUCCAUGCCGCGUGCAGGAAGACGGCCCUAUGGGUUGUAAACUGCUUUUGUACCGGAGAAAACCUUUCCCUGCGGGGAGAGCUGAUCGUACGGUGAGAAUAAGCAUCGGCUAACUUCGUGCCAGCAGCCGCGGUAAGACGAAGGAUGCAAGCGUUAUCCGGAUUCAUUGGGUUUAAAGGGAGCGUAGGCGGUCUAAUAAGUCAGUGGUGAAAUCUCUCGGCUUAACUGAGAAAUGGCCAUUGAUACUGUUGGACUUGAGUACAGAUGCCGUUGGCGGAAUAUGACAUGUAGUGGUGAAAUACAUAGAGAUGUCAUAGAACACCGAUUGCGAAGGCAGCUGACGAAACUGUAACUGACGCUGAGGCUCGAAAGUGUGGGGAUCAAACAGGAUUAGAUACCCUGGUAGUCCACACUGUAAACGAUGAUUACUCGCUGCUGAGGGGUGACCUUCAGUGGCUUAGCGAAAGCGAUAAGUAAUCCACCUGGGGAGUACGCCGGCAACGGUGAAACUCAAAGGAAUUGACGGGGGCCCGCACAAGCGGAGGAGCAUGUGGUUUAAUUCGAUGAUACGCGAGGAACCUUACCAGGGUUUGAAAGUUAGUUGACGGUGGUGAAAGCCUACCUUAGGGAUGACCGAUACUAGUCUGCUGGUGGCGCAGUCGUGCCGGAGGGUGGUAAGU
This 685-nucleotide ribosomal RNA is filed under the name uncultured bacterium. Its description in RNAcentral is "bacterial SSU rRNA". It matches the Rfam family "Bacterial small subunit ribosomal RNA", at positions 385 to 1080 of the family's 1533-position model. The record is from RNAcentral.